RNAcentral lists this long non-coding RNA (621 nucleotides) under Phoenix dactylifera (date palm). RNAcentral describes it as "long non-coding RNA (PDAC_LNC020305)". Lineage: Eukaryota; Viridiplantae; Streptophyta; Magnoliopsida; Arecales; Arecaceae. The record is from RNAcentral.
UAAGUGGAUGCUCAUUAUAACUACAGACCAUUUUAUCAACUCAAACCUUAGAAUUAAAUGAACAAUGAGUUACAAAUUAAGUGGUUCUCAAAUCAUUCAAUUGAACUACUAUUUCCAUGGUCCAUCCUUUCCUGCUUCAAUUAGUUGCAAAUGAUGGUAUCAUAUCAAUAUGAUCCAGAUGUUUUCUCGGCAGUUGGUCAGUCACAUAUAACCAUUUAGGGAAGAUACAUGGGAAAACGUAUCUAUGCAAUGCAAGUAUAUAAAUCAAAUGCUAAGAUUCAUAUCCACAUUUGUUUUAAACAGAUACGAUUACAAAUUGGACAUUGACAGUAAAAAUAAAUCAUAUACUUUAACUUUAUAAACCACUAAAUCUAAGAUAUUAUUCUAUGAAAGAUAAUUAAGUUAAGACAUGUUAAUAUUGUAACUUAUUUUCCUUCAAAGUUCAUGAGAGUUGUAUAAGAUUAAAAACAAUUGCAAACAAAACCAGAUAUUCGGAAACAAAUUGAUAAUCUUAUAUUCGUAUUCAUAUUUGCUUUUCUUUAACAGAUAUAGAUACAGAUAUAAAUAUUAGUCAGAUACUGAAAUUUGUACUCAAAUCUGAAUAUAUUUGGAUACAUAAAU